GACAUAGGUGGCGAACGUUAUCCGGAAUUAUUGGGCGUAAAGGGUGCGUAGGCGGUUUGGUAAGUCUUAUGUGAAAUCUACAGGCUCAACUUGUAGUCUGCAUGAGAAACUGCCGGGCUUGAGUGUGGGAGAGGUGAGUGGAAUUCCUGGUGUAGCGGUGAAAUGCGUAGAUAUCAGGAGGAACACCUGUGGCGAAAGCGGCUCACUGGACCAUAACUGACGCUGAUGCACGAAAGCUAGGGGAGCAAACAGG
This 253-nucleotide ribosomal RNA is filed under the name uncultured bacterium. RNAcentral's name for it is "partial 16S ribosomal RNA". It matches the Rfam family "Bacterial small subunit ribosomal RNA", at positions 524 to 776 of the family's 1533-position model. The record is from RNAcentral.